UUCCAGACUCCUACGGGAGGCAGCAGUGGGGAAUAUUGCACAAUGGGGGAAACCCUGAUGCAGCAACGCCGCGUGAGUGAAGAAGUAUUUCGGUAUGUAAAGCUCUAUCAGCAGGGAAGAGAAUGACGGUACCUGACUAAGAAGCCCCGGCUAACUACGUGCCAGCAGCCGCGGUAAUACGUAGGGGGCAAGCGUUAUCCGGAUUUACUGGGUGUAAAGGGAGGGUAGACGCAGUGCAAGUCUGGAGUGAAAGGCGGGGGCUCAACCCCCGGACUGCUCUGGAAACUGUACGGCUGGAGUGCAGGAGAGGUAAGUGGAAUUCCUAGUGUAGCGGUGAAAUGCGUAGAUAUUAGGAGGAACACCAGUGGCGAAGGCGGCCUGCUGGACGGUAACUGACGCUGAGGCUCGAAAGCGUGGGGAGCGAACAGGAUUAGAUACCCGAGUAC
RNAcentral lists this ribosomal RNA (446 nucleotides) under uncultured bacterium. Its description in RNAcentral is "bacterial SSU rRNA". It matches the Rfam family "Bacterial small subunit ribosomal RNA", at positions 329 to 793 of the family's 1533-position model. The record is from RNAcentral.